UACGUAGGGUCCGAGCGUUGUCCGGAUUUAUUGGGCGUAAAGAGCUCGUAGGCGGUUCCGUAAGUCAGAUGUGAAAACUCAGGGCUCAACCCGGAGACGCCAUCUGAUACUGCGGUGACUGGAGUCUGGUAGGGGAACACGGAAUUCCUGGUGUAGCGGUGAAAUGCGCAGAUAUCAGGAGGAACACCGAUGGCGAAGGCAGUGUUCUGUGCCAGUACUGACGCUGAGGAGCGAAAGCGUGGGGAGCAAACAGG
RNAcentral lists this ribosomal RNA (254 nucleotides) under uncultured bacterium. RNAcentral's name for it is "partial 16S ribosomal RNA". It matches the Rfam family "Bacterial small subunit ribosomal RNA", at positions 524 to 776 of the family's 1533-position model. The record is from RNAcentral.